UCUACAGAGGUGACUAGACUUCAGAGUGUUUUGGAGGAUGGAUUUGACUUUUUGAGGAGAGGGAUCAGGGACUCCAGUGAGGCUGUCUCUACUCAGUUUGGUACCCAGAUGCAGUCUGUGUUGAGAGCUUUGGAUUUUCUAGACACCAUCAGACUUUUUCUUCUAGCACAGUCCAUAUCUUCCCCGGCUCCAGGACCUUCUCUCCCCUCUACUCGUGC
Molecule: long non-coding RNA, 218 nt
Filed under: Elaeis guineensis (African oil palm)
Lineage: Eukaryota; Viridiplantae; Streptophyta; Magnoliopsida; Arecales; Arecaceae
Description: long non-coding RNA (EGUI_LNC014578)
Source: RNAcentral